RNAcentral lists this long non-coding RNA (2789 nucleotides) under Marmota monax (woodchuck). Lineage: Eukaryota; Metazoa; Chordata; Mammalia; Rodentia; Sciuridae. The record is from RNAcentral.
UUUGUAUGUUACAGAUGGGAUCACGAGACCAUUCGAAUAUUUCCAUUCCUUCAAGAGCUGCUCUUCCUACUGACACAGUUGAUGUUAGGGAUAUUUUGCCAUUGCAAGCUGAACUUGAUACAACUUAUACUUUCUUAAAGGAGGCAUUUUCAAAUACUCUGCCUCAUCCUCUAUCAUCUCAUUCCUCUCCAGUGGCUAUGUCUGCUAAUGCCAAAAGAUCACCUCAGAUUGGACUAUGACUUUAUAAAAUAAAAAAAAUGGAGGAAGAAUUAACAGUACAAUUAAAUUGUUUUGAAGGGGAAUUUUCUUACAGUGGAAUUUUGUUUCAGCACAAGUUGGGGUGGGUUUUUAAAAAACUGUGUGAUAUCUUGAUGUGUGCAGGUAUCUGUCUCCUUGAAUAACAAAAUAACCCACUUUUUUCUCUCUUAAGUUUUAUUUUAUUAUCACAGAUCCUCAUUUUUAUGUAACAUAUUUUUAAAUGUUAAAGAAUGACACAUUUUGGGUAAUUUCCCUCGGACUUAAAAAAUCAAUAAGCCAUUUUAGUCUCUAUCUAUCAAAGUUGUUUCAUACUUGUCUAUUUUAAAGCAGGACUGCAAUACUUUAAUAGGAUUGAGAGAGCUAUUUGAAAUGUAUGCCAAUGAUUCCUGUCAUUUCAUGGCAGCCCUGCCAUGGUUCACUGAGCCCCUCUUCUCUCUUGUCAGCUCAACUGAAGACAAGCAUUUAGUUGCAAACUUUAAGCAGGUUGUGCAAAACAGAAAUGAUGUGACUGCUUCUCCUCCUGCACAAUAAUGUCACUCCUGGUCAAUGUGAGAAGGUCAGGUUGCUCCUUGUAAAGCUACAUGAUACCACUUGCCCAUUUGAACAAGUUAAGUUAACUGCUGAAUCUGGUCCCUGCAGGCAUUGAAAACUCAUCCUUUUAUCAAGUCUGCAUUUGAUAAGAAAGUAGAGCAAUUGUACUGAGAGGAUUUCUGUGGUGUGUUUAGGCACUUUAUAAGGACAGUUCCCACAUCAGUAUAGCAGGUAAUAUAUUUAGUAUAAGCUAAAAAACUUCAAGGUAAUGGCUGUUUUGACCUUCAAAAUAGACUCCUUUUUUGUAUUUGUUGUUGGUAGGACCCAAGAGUGACGCCCAUCUUUGAUGCUGACAGAAUUUAAAACAAGGCCAUUGCCCUGCAUUUUCUGCCUUGUAGCACACAAAAGUAAAAUUGUAUGUCAGGCCGAGAUGUCGGGGAGCUGACAAGAUGCCCCAGUGACAUUUCAGCUAGAAAGAGCAAGUGUCUUGCAACCAAGUGGUCAAAUAUCAAAUAAUAGGUCAAGCAGGAAGGAGCUGAGUUCUAACCACAAAGAGGUUUCUGGUAACUUACUUGACAAGCUUUUGGGCGCUUUGUGGCUUGACAAAGUGAUGUUCUGUUGGGUAUCGCUAGACAGACUGUUCUUUAUCGCCUUCAGAAGAUCAGACAUUGACAUUGAUUAAACUCUUUAACCCUUAAAGGUUAAAUCCUUGCAGUUUGCAUCAUGGUAAGUGAAGAACAAAAGAAUAUUUGUAAUAUGUAUUUGUAUUUGUAUUAAUCAUUUAACUCCCCAGUGAUAUUAACUUCUGAUGUGAACUGUAGUUUUUGACAAAGAAUUUUGAUACAAAAUAUAUAUUUUAUAUUUUUAUUUUUCAUUAUGGAGUUUUUCAUUAUGGACACAAUAGAAAAUAAUGGCAUGUAUUAUGGAAUAUAUAUUGUGUUUACAGUGACAUUUGACUAAAUAUAUCCAACUUCUGAGGAUUUUUUUAUUGGUUCCAAUGAAUAAAGUUUGUACACUGUUAAUGUUAUUAGCCAAAUUAGCAAGUGAUUUAUGCUAUCUGAGCUGGUAGUGCUGUCGUACUAUGUAACACAAUACCAUUUCUUAUAAGAGGGAGCCAGUAUAAUUAGCUUGAAUAAAACUUUAGAAAGCUUUUGAUGUGGAGUAAAAUUGUAUUUUUAACCAAAUUUCUCUUAAUUUGGUCCUUGGAAUUCUUUUAAUGUAUCCUGUGUAUUAUAAUCUUAUGAAAUUCAAUUUUCAAAUUUAUUGUAACACAGAAUGUGCUAUUGAUCGUUUUUAUGUAGAUCUUAAAAUAAUUUCUGCACAUUUCAAAACACUUCGUUCUGCCAUUUCAUUCAAUGAUUAGAAUAUUCCCCAUGUGGAAAUUGAUAAAUGGUUUUUCAUGUGGUAUCAGUGAGCCUCCAAUUCUCAUGGGAAAGAAAAGGUAAAGCAAUGUUACCCUAUGUAACUUACGUGUCUAUGUGUAUGUGUGUAUGUUUGGGUUGAAUCUUUUUUCAGAUGCUACUGAUUUAAGAGGAGUAAGCUCUUUUGUAAAAUGUGCCUUGAACAGGUUUUGAUCUUCUUGCCUUAAUGUUAAAAUCCAUUAAUGGGAUAACUCCAAAAAUAAAUGUGUAUGUCUUUCCAUGUUCAUGUGUCUCUGAUCUUACAGAUAGAUUUCAUACAGCAAAUUCUGAAUCAUAAAUUCAAAAGGAUUAUUAAAUCAAAUCAAAGCAUGUCACAUUUUAAAGCAACUAGAUGCUAAAGGCCAUAGAAGCUGAAGGACGAGCUUCCUGAGUGAUCAUUAGUAUUCACUACCAAAUAUAGUAAUAUUUAUACCAUAUGCUUUUUUCCCAGAAGUCAGACCCAGCAGGAGGAGAAGAUUUAAUGACAUAUCCUAUGGAGAUCUGAGAAACUCUAGACUGCGUCUGAGUACCUCAGUGGCCAAUUGCUGCAUAUUUGAGAUCUGUGUUGCAUUGGCAAGGACAGUUACUCUAUGAGCUUCU